RNAcentral lists this ribosomal RNA (910 nucleotides) under uncultured bacterium. RNAcentral describes it as "bacterial SSU rRNA". It matches the Rfam family "Bacterial small subunit ribosomal RNA", at positions 33 to 934 of the family's 1533-position model. The record is from RNAcentral.
ACGCUAGCUACAGGCUUAACACAUGCAAGUCGAGGGGAAACGGCAUUGAGUGCUUGCACUCUUUGGACGUCGACCGGCGCACGGGUGAGUAACGCGUAUCCAACCUUCCCAUUACUGUGGGAUAACCUGCCGAAAGGCAGACUAAUACCGCAUAGUCUUCGUUGACGGCAUCAGAUAUGAAGUAAAGAUUUAUCGGUAAUGGAUGGGGAUGCGUCUGAUUAGCUUGUUGGCGGGGUAACGGCCCACCAAGGCAACGAUCAGUAGGGGUUCUGAGAGGAAGGCCCCCCACAUUGGAACUGAGACACGGUCCAAACUCCUACGGGAGGCAGCAGUGAGGAAUAUUGGUCAAUGGACGGAAGUCUGAACCAGCCAAGUAGCGUGCAGGAUGACGGCCCUAUGGGUUGUAAACUGCUUUUGUAUGGGGAUAAAGUUAGGGACGUGUCCCUAUUUGCAGGUACCAUACGAAUAAGGACCGGCUAAUUCCGUGCCAGCAGCCGCGGUAAUACGGAAGGUCCAGGCGUUAUCCGGAUUUAUUGGGUUUAAAGGGAGCGUAGGCUGGAGAUUAAGUGUGUUGUGAAAUGUAGACGCUCAACGUCUGAAUUGCAGCGCAUACUGGUUUCCUUGAGUACGCACAACGUUGGCGGAAUUCGUCGUGUAGCGGUGAAAUGCUUAGAUAUGACGAAGAACUCCGAUUGCGAAGGCAGCUGACGGGAGCGCAACUGACGCUUAAGCUCGAAGGUGCGGGUAUCAAACAGGAUUAGAUACCCUGGUAGUCCGCACAGUAAACGAUGGAUGCCCGCUGUUGGUACCUGGUAUCAGCGGCUAAGCGAAAGCAUUAAGCAUCCCACCUGGGGAGUACGCCGGCAACGGUGAAACUCAAAGGAAUUGACGGGGGCCCGCACAAGCGGAG